Balaenoptera ricei (Rice's whale) is the source of this 2005-nucleotide long non-coding RNA. RefSeq lists it as uncharacterized. The record is from RefSeq and is a predicted model, not a curated record. The transcript has 2 exons. NCBI's taxonomy places the organism in Eukaryota, Metazoa, Chordata, Mammalia, Artiodactyla, Balaenopteridae.
CAGAAAGUGGUGGGGAUGGGAUGGAAAGGAGGGCUCGAGGGGAAAAUGAGAGCACUGGUGAAUACAACCGGCCCCUCGCCAAGUGGGGAAGAUGGAGAUAGGGCUCGCCCCUCCCUCCCUGCCUCUGGGCUUCAAAUUCCCAUUGCCCUCACCUGAAGGAUCACACCCAGUGCGUUGUGAUGCUUCUGAUUCUUCACAAUCACCACCCUUCCCACUGAGAGAGAUUUCAGCCCAUUCACAGACUCCAUGAUGCGUCGCUGAAGGGCAGGGACGUGAAGAGAGGGGAUAAGGGAGGAAGUGUCACAGAGACACUAGGACUAAGUUCAGGAGUACCCAAAGUGUCACAGUCUCUUCCUCCCUGUCUGCCACCCCUGCCCCCAACACUCACACGCACUUACCUGGAUCAGGCCCCGGGUCUCUGUCAGUUCCUCCCCGCAGCUGUAAUACUCAGGCAGGUCAACGAGUUGGCCAGUUACAUCAGGCUCCUCCAAGUCCCCCAGCCGCUUGGUCAGUUCAGCCAGAGUCUGUUCAUGGGCCUGGGAGAAGCCAGUGUGGGUGUGCAGCAAGAGUCUCCAGGCCCAGAACCCUCCACUUUCACCCACCGGCCUCUGGAUGCCCAUCUCAUCCAGGCCUGGCUUCCCUUGUCCACAUCCUUUGCAGCAGCCUGGUCACGCCCACCUCCUCACCUUGCUGUCCUUGCGGGAUGGAAACUCAGAGAAGCUCCUCUUCAUCAUGUCCUCCACCCUGAGGGCAUCCACCCGCAGCAGGUUGAGGAUCAUGGUGUACGUGAGGCGGAACUGGGACUGCAGCUGGGACGGCUUCCCCUGGGCCGGGCCACAGAAGCCAGUGAGGCGAGGGGAGACCCGCUGCUCGGCUGCUCUGCUCUCGCUGCUCAGCAGCUCUAGUCCCAGCUCCGCAACCACGGGGCCCUAAACUGCUCGCUCACCUCUGCAGAACAAGGGAGCGACACUAAGUAAAUAGACUCUCCAAGGUCCCACCUAGCUCCAUAUUCACAGUGGAAAAAGACUAGAGAAGAGGAGAUCCAAUCUCAUCCUUGGAUUUGCUCACUCCUACCUUGGCUUCUCCCAGGCAAAAGGAAAGUAGAAAGAGGGGAGAAGGGAAGAGGGUCGGCAGAAUCUAGCAGGUGCCCAGAGCUGGCCUCGCGCUGCCCCGGCUCACCAUCAUCAUGUGGUGCAGGUCCGCCAUCUCGGGCACACGGCCCUUGCAGAGCAGGAUGACAGUGCCUGUGGGGUCCAGGCCCCUCCGGCCCGCCCGGCCUGCCAUCUGCACAUACUCCCCAGGGAGCAGGUCCCGGAAGGUGGAGCCAUCGUGCUUACGCGUGGAGUCAAACACCACUGUCCGGGCUGGCAUAUUUACACCCAUGGCGAAGGUCUCCGUGGCAAACAAGACCUGGGACGGGGGAGAGGAUCAGCAAGGGGGCUACACGCAGCUGUGACCCAGCCCUGGCCAAGCCCACCUCACUUUGUAGCCAAGGCUAAGAAGGCACCGGGCACAGUCCCAGACGGUUAACUCACAGGACCGCAUUUAACUCUCAAGGCAAAUCUACAUGUUUUCAACAUCCAUCCAUGUUCCUGUGGUUAUAUCUAAUCCACUGCUUCCAACUGCUGCAGAACACUUUGUGGGGUGCGUGUUGUACAUCUACCUACCGGCUCUCCCAGUGAAGGGGUACCACCAACACCCUGCCACAAGACUACAGCCAACAAAGGAAGAGCAGGCGUGUUCCCUCAAUGACCAGGGUGAGAAUUUCAUUGUGAUUUACACUCAGGAGUGGAAUUUAGGGACAAAGAGUAUGUAUAUACUUAUUUUUGCCUCCAGAGUGCCAGGAUGCACUUCAGACUGGCCACACCUGUACAAGGGUUCCUGUAAUCCUGCAGUCUCCUACGUCUUGGGCAACACUUGGCAUUACCCACUUUCCUAUAUUUUACCAGUCUAAUAACUGUAAAGUCCUAUCUUGCGAGUAUUUCAAUUUGCAUUCUUCUGAUGA